GGGGAAGACGAGAAGCAGAAGAGCUGCUUCAGCUGGAGAAUGAGAGUAGCCUCUGUAUCUUUUUCUUUACUCAUCUUAGAUCUAACCUUUCUCUGGUUCAUGGUUCAAAUCCAUAUAAAAUCCACUUGAAAGUACCGAAUUUUGUUAUCUUGAAGAGGGUAGUAACUAAAACGAACCAGAAAAAUGGACGCAUUAAGGAAACAAGCCAGCAAGCUAAG
This 218-nucleotide unclassified non-coding RNA is filed under the name Hevea brasiliensis (rubber tree). The record is from RNAcentral. Lineage: Eukaryota; Viridiplantae; Streptophyta; Magnoliopsida; Malpighiales; Euphorbiaceae.